UGGGGAGUAGUGAAAUGGCAUCACCGCAGACUUUGGAUCUGCUUUUCCAGGUUCGAAUCCUGGCUCCCCAGCCA
Molecule: transfer RNA, 74 nt
Filed under: Bacillota bacterium
Lineage: Bacteria; Bacillati; Bacillota
Description: Firmicutes bacterium (anaerobic digester metagenome) tRNA-Gln
Rfam family: tRNA
About the family: Transfer RNA (tRNA) molecules are approximately 80 nucleotides in length.
Source: RNAcentral